This is an unclassified non-coding RNA of Callithrix jacchus (white-tufted-ear marmoset), 318 nucleotides long. It matches the Rfam family "Metazoan signal recognition particle RNA". Rfam says of the family: The signal recognition particle (SRP) is a universally conserved ribonucleoprotein. It is involved in the co-translational targeting of proteins to membranes. The eukaryotic SRP consists of a 300-nucleotide 7S RNA and six proteins: SRPs 72, 68, 54, 19, 14, and 9. The record is from Ensembl. Lineage: Eukaryota; Metazoa; Chordata; Mammalia; Primates; Cebidae.
AGGCACAGUGGCUCACACCUGUAAUCCCAGCACUUUGGGAGACCAAGGUGGGCGGAUCACUUGAGGUCAGGAGUUCAAGAUCAGACUGGCCAAUAUAGCGAGACCCUGUCUCUACUAACAGUACAAAAAUCAGUGUGGACACCCAUCAAUAUGGUGCCCUCCCAGGAGCGGGGAACCACCAGGUCGCCUAAGAAGGGUUGAACCAGCCCAGGUCGGAAAUAGAACAGGUCAAAACUCCUGUGCUGGUCAGUAGUAAGAUUGUGCCUGUGAAUAGCCACUGCACUCCAACCUGGGCAACAUAGCGAGACCCCAUCUCUU